GAUGAACGCUGGCGGCGUGCCUAAUACAUGCAAGUCGAGCGAACGGACGAGAAGCUUGCUUCUCUGAUGUUAGCGGCGGACGGGUGAGUAACACGUGGAUAACCUACCUAUAAGACUGGGAUAACUUCGGGAAACCGGAGCUAAUACCGGAUAAUAUUUUGAACCGCAUGGUUCAAAAGUGAAAGACGGUCUUGCUGUCACUUAUAGAUGGAUCCGCGCUGCAUUAGCUAGUUGGUAAGGUAACGGCUUACCAAGGCAACGAUGCAUAGCCGACCUGAGAGGGUGUUCGGCCACACUGGAGCUGAGACUCUUUCCAGACUCCUACGGGAGGCAGCAGUAGGAAAUCUUCCGCAAUGGGCGACAGCCUCACGGAGCAACGCCGCGUGAGUGAUGAAGGUCUUCGGAUCGUAAAACUCUGUUCUUAGGGUAGAACAUAUGUGUAAGUAACUGUGCACAUCUUGACGGUACCUAAUCAGAAAGCCGCGGCUAACUACGU
This 496-nucleotide ribosomal RNA is filed under the name uncultured bacterium. Its description in RNAcentral is "partial 16S ribosomal RNA". It matches the Rfam family "Bacterial small subunit ribosomal RNA", at positions 28 to 506 of the family's 1533-position model. The record is from RNAcentral.